UACGUAGGUGGCAAGCGUUGUCCGGAUUUAUUGGGUUUAAAGGGUGCGUAGGCGGCCCUGUAAGUCAGUGGUGAAAUACUGCAGCUUAACUGUAGCAUUGCCAUUGAUACUGCAGGGCUUGAGUACAGAUGAGGUAGGCGGAAUUGAUGGUGUAGCGGUGAAAUGCAUAGAUACCAUCAAGAACACCGAUUGCGAAGGCAGCUUACUAAGCUGUAACUGACGCUGAGGCACGAAAGCGUGGGGAUCGAACAGG
RNAcentral lists this ribosomal RNA (253 nucleotides) under uncultured bacterium. Its description in RNAcentral is "partial 16S ribosomal RNA". It matches the Rfam family "Bacterial small subunit ribosomal RNA", at positions 524 to 776 of the family's 1533-position model. The record is from RNAcentral.